CCUACGGGGGGCAGCAGUCGAGAAUCAUUCACAAUGGGGGAAACCCUGAUGGUGCGACGCCGCGUGGGGGAAUGAAGGUCUUCGGAUUGUAAACCCCUGUCAUGUGGGAGCAAAGUAAAAAGAUAGUACCACAAGAGGAAGAGACGGCUAACUCUGUGCCAGCAGCCGCGGUAAUACAGAGGUCUCAAGCGUUGUUCGGAAUCACUGGGCGUAAAGCGUGCGUAGGCUGUUUCGUAAGUCGUGUGUGAAAGGUGCGGGCUCAACCCGCGGACGGCACAUGAUACUGCGAGACUAGAGUAAUGGAGGGGGAACCGGAAUUCUCGGUGUAGCAGUGAAAUGCGUAGAUAUCGAGAGGAACACUCGUGGCGAAGGCGGGUUCCUGGACAUUAACUGACGCUGAGGCACGAAGGCCAGGGGAGCGAAAGGGAUUAGAUACCCGAGUAGUC
Molecule: ribosomal RNA, 446 nt
Filed under: uncultured bacterium
Lineage: Bacteria
Description: partial 16S ribosomal RNA
Rfam family: Bacterial small subunit ribosomal RNA
Source: RNAcentral